GCCUUGGAGUCUCAGAGAGUUUGAUCCUGGCUCAGGAUGAACGCUAGCUACAGGCUUAACACAUGCAAGUCGAGGGGCAGCGGGAAGUCAGCUUGCUGACUUGCCGGCGACCGGCGCACGGGUGAGUAACGCGUAUCCAACCUUCCCCUUAGUAGGGCAUAGCCCGUAGAAAUGCGGAUUAAUACCCUAUGUUGUUCAAUGCGGACAUCUAACUUGAACCAAAGGUUUACCGCUAAGGGAUGGGGAUGCGUCCGAUUAGGCAGCAGGCGGGGUAACGGCCCACCUGGCCAACGAUCGGUAGGGGUUCUGAGAGGAAGGUCCCCCACAUUGGAACUGAGACACGGUCCAAACUCCUACGGGAGGCAGCAGUGAGGAAUAUUGGUCAAUGGGCGCGAGCCUGAACCAGCCAAGUAGCCGUGCAGGACGACGGCCCUAUGGGUUGUAAACUGCUUUUAUGCGGGGAUAAAGUCACCCACGUGUGGGUGUUUGUAGGUACCGCAUGAAUAAGGACCGGCUAAUUCCGUGCCAGCCGCCGC
Molecule: ribosomal RNA, 536 nt
Filed under: uncultured bacterium
Lineage: Bacteria
Description: bacterial SSU rRNA
Rfam family: Bacterial small subunit ribosomal RNA
Source: RNAcentral